Molecule: ribosomal RNA, 468 nt
Filed under: uncultured bacterium
Lineage: Bacteria
Description: partial 16S ribosomal RNA
Rfam family: Bacterial small subunit ribosomal RNA
Source: RNAcentral
GACGAACGCUGGCGGCGCGCCUAACACAUGCAAGUCGAACGGAGUCACGAGGAGCUUGCUUUUCUUGACUUAGUGGCGCACGGGUGAGUAACGCGUGAGUAACCUGCCCUGGAGUGGGGGACAACAGUUGGAAACGACUGCUAAUACCGCAUAAGCUCACGGAGCUGCAUGGAUCUGCGGGAAAAGGAUUUAUUCGCUCUAGGAUGGACUCGCGUCAAAUUAGCUAGUUGGUGGGGUAACGGCCCACCAAGGCGACGAUUGGUAGCCGGACGGAGGGGUUGAACGGCCACAUUGGGACUGAGACACGGCCCAGACUCCUACGGGAGGGAGCAGUGGGGGAUAUUACACGAGGGGGGAAACCCUGAUGACGCGGCGCCGGGUGGAGGAAGAAGGUGUUCGGAUUGUAAACUCCUGUGGUUAGGGACGAUAAUGACGGUACCUAACAAGAAAGCACCAGCUAACUACGUG